This is a long non-coding RNA of Cryptomeria japonica (Japanese cedar), 2135 nucleotides long. RefSeq lists it as uncharacterized. The transcript is spliced from 8 exons. The record is from RefSeq and is a predicted model, not a curated record. NCBI's taxonomy places the organism in Eukaryota, Viridiplantae, Streptophyta, Pinopsida, Cupressales, Cupressaceae.
CCACAGGCGGCUGUCAUAUGCGUUCAGUGAUGUUCAAUUAGGUUUCCAGAGAGAGGUCUUGGGAUACUCGUCUCUGCACAAAAGGCUGCAUAUUCUGACACUACAGUCUGUACCACCGCUGUUGCUUUCGCAGUCCCUGCUGCGAUUUCUGGCCAUCUGUCCAAGGAAAAUGGUCAUCAAUCCUCUUUAGCCAUCUGUCCAAGGAAAAUGGUCAUCAAUCCUCUUUAGCCACUACCGCAGAAGCGAUGGCAAUCAUUUCAAGGUUAAUGGGCUCUUCGCCUGAAGCCCUUAUUACCAUUCCAAGUAACACCCUUGCUGCUGAGCUUGCUACUAAUUUUAAAGCAGUGCCUCCAGCGGCUCCUACAAAAACUCAAGGGAACACUUUUCAAACUCAGACGUCCAACAUUUUCUUUGGUCCUGUAAAGACCAAUUCCAGCCCUUCUGACAGGGUUUUUGAGCAUGCUCUCCCACAUUCGUUGUCAUUGCAACUGUUGUCCAAUUCUUCUGAAACGAUAAACCCCAUUCGAAUAGCAUUGACCGAAAUAUUUUUCUUUUGAUAGCAGCAAUUCUACUCAUGAAAUAUCUCCAUCUCCCUCACCUCCUCUUGUGCAUAAAUUGUUUCCUUUGUAUUCUGGACAAGAAGGCAGAGAGAAUGAUAGCAUUUCCAUCUACAAGGAUGAUAUUCUAGCUCUAGAUGGAAGCCCCAGCAACGAUGGGUGCUCAAUAUACAAUCUUCCAAAGGUGGGAAUAAGAGGCCUCGCCAGAAUUUAGUGUAAGAUCUUAAUUUCAAGGUGCAGAAUCCAGGUCUCCUGCAGCAUUGUUGGUUAUACUUCAGCCUCUUCUAGAUCAGAUCUGUCUCCAGUUAGCUCUAAUUCUGAUUCACAGUUUGAUUUAUCUAUUUCCUUGCUACUGUGGUGCUUAUUCGGCCAAUAGGAACUACCGCUGCCCUGGAUCAAAUUUAUGAGAAGGCAAUGAAAGAAUGUGUUUGUAAGACAAUGGCUUUCGAAGUGAAUAUUGCAGACAUCGAAAAGAGGCUGAAAGAACACUUAGGCAGUAAAGUUUGAAAGAGAACAGUUACCAUUCUGCUAAAGUUUUCAGUGCUUUGUAUUGGUCUUGGUCUUCCAAAUCACCUUUGGCUGGUAGAGAUAUUAUUAAAUUUCAGAUCAUUGAUGAGUCAGGUAGGAGAGGAAGCCAUUGCUCAACCUUGGAGAAACUUCAUGCUCAGAAGAAGAGGCUUUAUGAAGAAGGAGUUGUGAAUUGGGAAAAAUAGAUCAGAAUAAGAAAUUGGUAUUGUUGCGCCACCAGGAGUCAAAAGGAAAAGAUGAGAAGAAGAUUGAAAAAACAAGAAUAUCUAUAGCUAUACUGCAAUCUCAAGUAGUGGAUACACACCAGUAUUAUUCAAUGGUUGCAUUUGUGCUGAAUGCAUCUUCUUUUCUUUAUCCCCAAGUAAUUCAUGGAGUGCAGCAACAACAUACGGUAGCAUCAAAUCAGCUUUAUCUUCUACCAGCAAAUUUAUGGGUUUUAUUUCGUAUUUCCUAGGCUUGAUUACAACAAAUGGUAUCAUUCCUAUCUUAACAUAGCGCCUCACUCAGAGAUUGGGUAAUCUUAGAUGAGAUGAACCCGGUGACUUCAAGUACAGGUUUAGUAGCAAGACAAGGUCACUAUCAUUGAGCAGUUCAAAUGCAGUUUAUACUGCAUGUAGGCUACAGAUGAUCAGAGGCAUGUUAAGUCAGCAAUACUUAACAUGAUUGUGUCAGGGUAAGAGGCACAAGUUGAUUAGUACCAAUUAUAGAAGAUCGAGACUCGCUGAGUUGCAAAAUAGCUAAAAGGGCUCAGAGAAUCUUAUCGUUUCCCUUUUUGGUUCAAGGGUGAUUGUUGGAUCCUUGUGAUCCAAAACUGUUUUAUUAUUAUGUCAUGUUAGAACAUAAUAUAAAUUAUUGUUCUAUAUGUGUUGAUGUUAUGUGAUGAGUGCUAGUAAUAAAUUGACAUAGUUUUAUAAAUUAGGUUUUCAAGUUGUACAGGAAUAGAUAGUUUGGGUAGUCGCACAAGAAGUUGAAAAGUGAAAGGCUUUAUAAGCCAAUGUAAUUUUGCAAAAGAUAAUCUCUAAUUUUAUAAUAUACUAUUUUGUUGGUGUU